Molecule: long non-coding RNA, 325 nt
Organism: Micropterus salmoides (largemouth bass)
Lineage: Eukaryota; Metazoa; Chordata; Actinopteri; Centrarchiformes; Centrarchidae
Exons: 2
Source: RefSeq, a predicted model, not a curated record
CAGACUCUCACUAUGUCCAGUUCCAUGUAGCUUUGGUGAAUAAAGAACCAAAGCAUCUGGCUACAGCCCUGUGUUAUGAGCAGUCCACAGCAUGUGUAGUGGUGAAACGGCAGUCUUUUGAGGGUUCCAAAAAAAACAUGUUUACAGAAAGUGACAUUGAAUCUAUACUACAGAACAACAAGGAACAUGUGCGCAUUUCUCAACCUACAGGUUCACCUGUGCACUCAAGAGACGAGUUGUGAAAGCAGCCAUUUGCCUGCAACUGAAUAAGGGAUGGCUUGUUGUCAUGAUAUUGUGUUUUUUAAGUGUCAGUAUAAUAAAGACA